GUAACGCAAUAGGUAGCGCGUUGGACUUCUAAUCCAAAGGUCGCAGGUUCGUAUCUUUUUUACU
Molecule: non-coding RNA, 64 nt
Organism: Trichonephila clavipes
Lineage: Eukaryota; Metazoa; Arthropoda; Arachnida; Araneae; Nephilidae
Source: the annotation of a GenBank genome assembly